AAGACUGUUUGCAUAGUCAAAGCCAGAGUACCCUUCUCAACUGGAACUGAAAGCAAACAAGAACAAAUUUCUUUCCAGUGAGAUCAGGAUGCCCAAGCUGCCUUCACACUUCUCAAGGAGCACUUCACCUCAGCUCCCAACUGGAUCUGGGUCUCCAAUUCAAGGUGGAAGUAGACACUUUCAACUUGGGGGUGGGGGCCAUGCUCUCCCAACAAAAGGACGGCCAGGUUCUCAUUACGUGAAACCGGACACUCUAUCCCAGCUCAUCUGGUUGGGUCCUUCUCUGAGGACCCAACUGACACUGCACCCAUCCUGCAACCUACUUCCACCAUUGGAACCAUUGCAUGGGAAAUCGAGUCAUCGUUCCAAGAAGCACAGGAACCAGGCCACUGGCAUGCCUCUGUCUUCUCUAUAAAAUGGACUAUGGAUUCCAGGCGCCGGGGGAAAAGAUUUCAGUAUCUGGCGGGCUGGGAGGGCUACAGCCCUGAAGAACACUCCUGGAUUUUGCAGUCGGUGGUUCUGGACAAAACCAUGCUUCGAUAGUUCCACCGCCCGCAACCUGAUAAGCCUGAUGGGUCACCGGCAGGCUCCCAUUUAAGUUCGGGGGGUACUGUCAGUUUUAAACACAUGCAAACUAAAGUAGGUAGAAACCUAUUCUUCUCAUUUCCACCAUCACAUUUGUAUUCUUAGACUCUAAUAAGAGUGGCUUAGCAUUAAUCCCGGUUCAAAAUAAUCCUUAUUUAUCAUAGAUUGGGCGUUGGUGCAGCAAUGCCAUUCUUGCAAUAUCUGAAAUAAUCCAUUUUAGAUCCUCUCCCUUUAAGCCAGUUUUCUUCUGACUGGCUGCCCCAGGCAAACAGAAGGUCUGAACAGCAGGUUGAUCAUCCAUCUGCGCUUGCAGCUAGAGCUGUGUGGCUGAGAUGAGCAUAUUAAGGAUGUUCCUCACCCUCCUUAACAUCAUGCAGAGCCAAGAGUAACAGGAAAAACUGUCUGAAUUUGAGUCUUCACAGUAGUUGGAAGAAUGAGCUUUUUACUCACAGGGAUUAGUUACACAUCCCUCAUUUUCUCUUAACUGAACACCCACAUAAAGAAGAGUAUGUAGGCCUAUAUAUGGUAGAAAAUAAUCAGAAUAGAAUAACAUGGUCGCUUUCAACGACUUAGUAUAUUAGUUUCUUCACCAGCUGAAACAGCAUAUCCUGAUCAUACACUUUCUUUUGUACAUCCUGGUAAGUAAUGAAGAAUGAAAAGAAAUAUGAAAGAAAUUUAGUACACAAGGGCAAGGCAGCACCAUUAAAGCACUUCGUCUUGGGGCCACUAUGGAAACUUCCCAGGUUAUGAUACUGUACGUGUGAACCCCAGCGCCUGCUGCCAUUGUAUUAUACUAGACCUUAUGCCGUGUGUGUGUGUGGGUUAGGGGAGUACUGUAUCUCUGUGAUCAUAAGGGGUCUGUGAAGGCGAGGAAACAGAAGGCCGGUUAUACAGCUACACACAGAGGAGAGGGUAAGACUGCCAAGCUGUGGGAAGACUGGGAGCCAAAUGGAUCACACACGUAAUCACACACAGAGAAACGCAGCAUAGUGCAAACACACAUAUGCUGUGCUGAAUGUAUGUGCCAGAGUGGGGCAAAAGACAGAGCCAAAGUAUUGAAUGACAGAGGGUGUUGACACUGAUGUCUUGGCUGCUGGACUUGAACUAAUAUCCAAAUCUUCUGUAAACCACUCGGCUCACACACUCAGAUCCGAUUUCUUCAGUCUCACUUCGACUUGAAAAAGUACAGAGUAUCAGAAGGCGCGCUGACCAAAUAAGUGAGAGCACCACUCAAUAUUCACAAAUUUCCAUUUCACACUUUGCAGAGCAAUAUUAUGCCUGAUGCACACAGACACAAAUCUGAAUCAAACGCUAACAGCCAUGAAAUGAACAGAAAAAGGGAUUCAUAAGGAGCUUUUCGCUUUCCCUCUCCCGUUGGCCCAAUCAAAUUUUUAUCCAAUAAAAUCUUUAAUGAGGUGAGUCACCGAGUCACUCCCUCUACAUCACCUUGUGACAGCGGACAUAAAUUCGAUUCGUCACACCACGUUUUCGCACAAACUGCUGAA
This is a long non-coding RNA of Oreochromis niloticus (Nile tilapia), 2090 nucleotides long. RefSeq lists it as uncharacterized. Lineage: Eukaryota; Metazoa; Chordata; Actinopteri; Cichliformes; Cichlidae. The transcript is spliced from 3 exons. The record is from RefSeq and is a predicted model, not a curated record.